AGCAGCCGCGGUAAUUCCAGCUCCAAUAGCGUAUAUUAAAGUUGUUGCAGUUAAAAAGCUCGUAGUUGAAUUUCGGGACCAAUCUGCCGGUCGUGCCUCCGGUACGCACUGGUUUUAUUGGUUUCUCCCUUCUGACGAACCAUGAUGUCAUUAAUUUGGUGUCAUGGGGAAUCAGGACUGUUACUUUGAAAAAAUUAGAGUGUUUAUAGCAGGCUCACGCUUGAAUACAUUAGCAUGGAAUAAUGAAAUAGGACGUUUGACCCUAUUUUGUUGGUUUCUAGGAUCGACGUAAUGAUUAAUAGGGAUAGUUGGGGGCAUUAGUAUUCAAUUGUCAGAGGUGAAAUUCUUGGAUUUAUUGAAGACUAACUACUGCGAAAGCAUUUGCCAAGGAUGUUUUCAUUAAUCAAGAACGAAAGUUAGGGGAUCGAAGACGAUCAGAUACCGUCGUAG
RNAcentral lists this ribosomal RNA (450 nucleotides) under uncultured Glomeromycotina. RNAcentral's name for it is "SSU rRNA". It matches the Rfam family "Eukaryotic small subunit ribosomal RNA", at positions 569 to 1023 of the family's 1831-position model. The record is from RNAcentral. Lineage: Eukaryota; Fungi; Glomeromycota.